This is a small nucleolar RNA of Rattus norvegicus (Norway rat), 104 nucleotides long. Ensembl annotates it as small nucleolar RNA SNORA17. The record is from Ensembl. Lineage: Eukaryota; Metazoa; Chordata; Mammalia; Rodentia; Muridae.
AUAUGGAGGCAGUACAGGUGUGGCUGCUCUGUCACAUGGGCACCAGUAGAAGGAGGCUACUCAGUAUCUGACCUGUGAAUCUGAAUAGUUAGUAGCCUAACACU